This 492-nucleotide ribosomal RNA is filed under the name uncultured bacterium. Its description in RNAcentral is "partial 16S ribosomal RNA". It matches the Rfam family "Bacterial small subunit ribosomal RNA", at positions 29 to 507 of the family's 1533-position model. The record is from RNAcentral.
AGUGAACGCUGGCGGUAGGCCUAACACAUGCAAGUCGAACGGCAGCACAGUAAGAGCUUGCUCUUACGGGUGGCGAGUGGCGGACGGGUGAGGAAUACAUCGGAAUCUACUUUUUCGUGGGGGAUAACGUAGGGAAACUUACGCUAAUACCGCAUACGACCUACGGGUGAAAGCAGGGGAUCUUCGGACCUUGCGCGAUUGAAUGAGCCGAUGUCGGAUUAGCUAGUUGGCGGGGUAAAGGCCCACCAAGGCGACGAUACGUAGCUGGUCUGAGAGGAUGAUCGGCCACACUGGAACUGAGACACGGUCCAGACUCCUACGGGAGGCAGCAGUGGGGAAUAUUGGACAAUGGGCGCAAGCCUGAUCCAGCCAUACCGCGUGGGUGAAGAAGGCCUUCGGGUUGUAAAGCCCUUUUGUUGGGAAAGAAAAGCAGCAGGUUAAUACGCCGCUGUUCUGACGGUACCCAAAGAAUAAGCACCGGCUAACUUCGUG